GUUAAGGCCCAAACAUCUAGCUAGGGUUUUCAAGGGUAUGGCAUAUAUUAGCAGUGACGCUUCAUUUAUUUUCUUGUUACCGUCACCGUGAGUCCGCGUUUUGAGAAAAAAGUGUCUCCACCAUGAGAGCCAAGUGGAAGAAGAAGCGUAUGAGGAGGUUGAAGAGGAAGAGACGAAAGAUGAGACAGCGAUCUAAGUAGACUUCGCAUUUCAAUCUGCUUCCUUGUUUCUGUUACUUCUCCAAGUACUUUUGUUUGAUCUUGUUUCAGUUUUAUGUUUUCUUGGCUUCCUUCUUGUAGAAUUUGUAUGGAUCCUUCAUUAAUGUUAAACCUUUAUCUAUCUAAUCACAUUUUCACCA
Molecule: long non-coding RNA, 358 nt
Organism: Brassica oleracea var. oleracea
Lineage: Eukaryota; Viridiplantae; Streptophyta; Magnoliopsida; Brassicales; Brassicaceae
Exons: 2
Source: RefSeq, a predicted model, not a curated record